RNAcentral lists this ribosomal RNA (253 nucleotides) under uncultured bacterium. Its description in RNAcentral is "partial 16S ribosomal RNA". It matches the Rfam family "Bacterial small subunit ribosomal RNA", at positions 524 to 776 of the family's 1533-position model. The record is from RNAcentral.
UACGGAGGGCGCAAGCGUUGCUCGGAAUUACUGGGCGUAAAGCGCGUGCAGGCGGUCGAGUAAGUCGGUUGUGAAAUCCCCAGGCUCAACUUGGGAACUGCAUCCGAAACUGCUCGGCUAGAGUCCCGGAGAGGGAGGCGGAACUCCCAGUGUAGGGGUGAAAUCCGUAGAUAUUGGGAAGAACACCGGCGGCGAAAGCGGCCUCCUGGACGGUGACUGACGCUGAGACGCGAAAGCGUGGGGAGCAAACAGG